AGAAGCUCCCUGUGCCCAUGGGGCCAUCUCGGCUUGUCCGUGGCCCUCGGCCCCAGGGCAUGCGUUCCCCCUACCGCAGGCCAGGUAUGGGCUGGCCCAGGCCCCGAUUUCCCAGGAUGUUCAAGUGUAGCCGCAGAAGAUAUCAACAGGGUCUCCGAGGUCGAACUGCCAGCAGUGCAGCCAUCAAUCCUGCCACCAGGGCCAUGGGUAUCAACAACACCCACACUGACACCACCAUAGUGUGGAUCUUCCCACCUCAAGUCAAUCCCUGGGAGGCAGGCCACUAUUCCUCAUCUAUAGAUGAGAAAACCGAGGCUCAGAAAUGGACAGCUCUGGACCACACCUCACAGUGCCUGGGGAGCAGCCCAGGGGAGAUGGCAGGCAGGUGGAGAAGGAAGUGGUGGCACACUGGGACAGUUGGCACAGGUGCAGGAGGAGCAGGCCAGGCCAAGCCACCGAAUCGGGAGGUACUGAAGCCCAAGUAAGAGUUUUCAGUAGAGAGGGAGUAGACUGAGUGUUGGGCCCUAGGACUGGGCUUCCCUGGGUACUAUCCCAACCCCUGAGCCUCGGGAGAGGUGGAAAUGACCUUCCUCUGCACCGGCAUGCCCAGAGAAGAGAGCCUGGAGCUGAGACUUGCAACUUCUAGAAAACAAACACAAAACUGAGGCCAAGAGAGUGCUGACUACUAUUACCAACAAAAUUC
RNAcentral lists this long non-coding RNA (703 nucleotides) under Homo sapiens (human). Its description in RNAcentral is "non-protein coding lnc-POMGNT1-1:8". The record is from RNAcentral. Lineage: Eukaryota; Metazoa; Chordata; Mammalia; Primates; Hominidae.